AGAAAGACACUCACAUGUUUAAUGUAUAAAUAGAAGUCACGUUUUACUAACUCCUGUAAAAUGUCGGAGAGGAACGCCAACAUCCACUGAUGGAGGAGAAGAAAGAUGGAGGACGGGAGUGCCAGCAUCUACCAAUGGAGGAGAAGAAAUACUUUUAUUAACCAAAACAAUGUAAGUAAAACCUCUCGUUUACACAGAAAGACACUGGACACGUGUAUUGUAAAAAAUGACUUUCUAAUAAUGCUUGUAAAAUGUUGGACUUGAACACCAGAAUCCACUGAUGGAGAACAAGGAAGAUAGAAGAGUACCAUCAUCUACCAAUGGAGGAGGAGGAGGAGAAAAAUGGGGGAGCACCAGCAUCCAAAAGUGUCCCAUAAUCAGCCCCAGGAGGAGAUAUCAGCAGAGGAAAGAAAGACUAUUAACCAAAACAAUGUAAGCAAAACCUCUCAUUUACACAGAAAGACACUGAACUUGUUUUUAUUGUAAAAAUGUUGUCAUUGGUAAAAAAAAAAAAAAAAAUAGAGAGAAAUAGAUGUUCGUUUACACUAAAACCUGUAAAUUGUCCACCACAGUGUCCCACAAUCAGCCCCAGGAGGAGACGCCAGCAGAGGAAAGAAACAAUAUUAACCAAAACAAUGUAAGUAAAACUUCUCAUUUCCACAGAAAGACACUGAUCACAUGUUUAAUGUAUAAAUAGAAGUCACGUUUUACUAACACCUGUAAAAUGUUGGAGAGGAACGCCAACAUCCACUGAUGGAGGAGAAGAAAGAUGGAGGACGGGAGUGCCGGCAUCUACCAAUGGAGGAGAAGAAAUACUUUUAUUAACCAAAACAAUAAUCCACUGAUGGAGAACAAGGAAGAUGGAAGAGUACCAUCAUCUACCAAUGGAGGAGGAGAAAAAUGGGGGAGCACCAGCAUCCAAAAGUGUCCCAUAAUCAGCCCCAGGAGGAGAUAUCAGCAGAGGAAAGAAAGACUAUUAACCAAAACAAUGUAAGCAAAACCUCUCAUUUACACAGAAAGACACUGAACUUGUUUUUAUUGUAAAAAUGUUGUCAUUGGUAAAAAAAAAAAAAAAGAGAGAAAUAGAUGUUUGUUUACACUAAAACCUG
Molecule: long non-coding RNA, 1109 nt
Filed under: Gouania willdenowi (blunt-snouted clingfish)
Lineage: Eukaryota; Metazoa; Chordata; Actinopteri; Blenniiformes; Gobiesocidae
Description: lncRNA (ENSGWIG00000014863.1)
Source: RNAcentral